CCUACGGGAGGCUGCAGUGAGGAAUAUUGGUCAAUGGGCGGAAGCCUGAACCAGCCAAGCCGCGUGAAGGAUGACGGCCCUAAGGAUUGUAAACUGCUUUUGUCCGGGAAUAAAGCGCCUUACGAGUAGGGCUUUGCAUGUACCGGAUGAAUAAGGAUCGGCUAAUUCCGUGCCAGCAGCCGCGGUAAUACGGAAGGUCCGGGAGUUAUCCGGAUUUAUUGGGUUUAAAGGGAGCGUAGGCCGCAUGUCAAGCGUGCUGUGAAAUGUCCGGGCUCAACCCGGGCCUGGCCGCGGAAACUGGCGUGCUUGAGUGCGCGGAAGGCAUGCGGAAUGCGUCGUGUAGCGGUGAAAUGCUUAGAUAUGACGAAGAACCCCGAUUGCGAAGGCAGCGUGCUGGAGCGGAACUGACGCUGAGGCUCGAAAGCGUGGGUAUCGAACAGGAUUAGAUACCCCAGUAGUC
Molecule: ribosomal RNA, 460 nt
Filed under: uncultured bacterium
Lineage: Bacteria
Description: partial 16S ribosomal RNA
Rfam family: Bacterial small subunit ribosomal RNA
Source: RNAcentral